Molecule: non-coding RNA, 73 nt
Organism: Danionella cerebrum
Lineage: Eukaryota; Metazoa; Chordata; Actinopteri; Cypriniformes; Danionidae
Source: the annotation of a GenBank genome assembly
UUUCUUGUGGCUCAGUUGGUAGAGCAUUGCGCCAACAACGCAAAGGUCGUGGGUUCAAGUUUCAAAGCAAAAA